Molecule: ribosomal RNA, 638 nt
Filed under: uncultured ciliate
Lineage: Eukaryota; Ciliophora
Description: LSU rRNA
Rfam family: Eukaryotic large subunit ribosomal RNA
Source: RNAcentral
GACCCGUCUUGAAACACGGACCAAGGAGUCUAACACAUAUGCGAGUUUGCGAGUGGAAAAACUCAUUAAGCAUAAUGAAAGUAAUUACAAGAUGCGAAGUCGCAAGACUGCAACAUCGACCGACCUUGAUCUUCUGUGAAGGGUUUGAGUAAGAGCAUAUUUGUUAGGACCCGAAAGAUGGUGAACUAUGCUUGAGUAGGGUGAAGCCAGGGGAAACUCUGGUGGAAGCUCGUAGCGAUAUUGACGUGCAAAUCAUUCGUCAAACUUGAGUAUAGGGGCGAAAGACUAAUCGAGCCAUCUAGUAGCUGGUUCCCUCUGAAGUUUCUCUCAGGAUAGCUGGAACAUGAAUGCAGUUUUAUUAGGUAAAGCGAAUGAUUAGGGGCCUCGGAGUUGAAACAACUUUGACCCAUUCUCAAACUUUAAAUUGGUAAGAACUAAUAGUUUUCUUAACUGAACUAUUAGGUAGAAUGCAUUGUUCUUAGUGGGCCAUUUUUGGUAAGCAGAACUGGCGAUGAGGGAUGAACCUAACGUAGGGUUAAGGCGCCCAAAUGUACACUCAUCAGACACCACAAAAGGUGUUGAUUCAUAAAGACAGCAGGACGGUGGCCAUGGAAGUCGGAAUCCGCUAAGGAGUGUGU